CAGUCGCCGCGGUAAUACGUAGGGUCCGAGCGUUGUCCGGAAUUAUUGGGCGUAAAGGGCUCGUAGGCGGUUUGUCGCGUCGGGAGUGAAAACCAGCAGCUUAACUGCUGGCCUGCUUUCGAUACGGGCAGACUUGAGGCAUUCAGGGGAGAACGGAAUUCCUGGUGUAGCGGUGAAAUGCGCAGAUAUCAGGAGGAACACCGGUGGCGAAGGCGGUUCUCUGGGAAUGUUCUGACGCUGAGGAGCGAAAGUGUGGGGAGCGAACAGGAUUAGAUACCCCGGUAGUCCCUGUCUCUUAUAC
This 301-nucleotide ribosomal RNA is filed under the name uncultured bacterium. RNAcentral describes it as "partial 16S ribosomal RNA". It matches the Rfam family "Bacterial small subunit ribosomal RNA", at positions 509 to 807 of the family's 1533-position model. The record is from RNAcentral.